RNAcentral lists this ribosomal RNA (373 nucleotides) under Gobionotothen gibberifrons (humped rockcod). RNAcentral describes it as "partial 12S ribosomal RNA". It matches the Rfam family "Bacterial small subunit ribosomal RNA", at positions 799 to 1374 of the family's 1533-position model. The record is from RNAcentral. Lineage: Eukaryota; Metazoa; Chordata; Actinopteri; Perciformes; Nototheniidae.
GCCGUAAACAUUGAUAGAUUAAUACACCCCCUAUCCGCCCGGGAAAUACGAGCACCAGCUUAAAACCCAAAGGACUUGGCGGUGCUUUAGAUCCUACUAGAGGAGCCUGUUCUAGAACCGAUAACCCCCGUUCAACCUCACCUUUCCUUGUUUUUCCCGCCUAUAUACCGCCGUCGUCAGCCCACCCUAUGAAGGUUUAAAAGUAGGCUUAAUUGGCACAGCCCAAAACGUCAGGCCGAGGUGUAGCGUAUGGAAAGGGAAGAAAUGGGCUACAUUCCCUGUUUUAGGGCACACGAAUGGUGUGCUGAAACGCACAUCUUGAAGGAGGAUUUAGCAGUAAGUAGGAAGUAGAGCGUCCUGCUGAAAUUGGCUC